Molecule: ribosomal RNA, 117 nt
Filed under: Bifidobacteriaceae bacterium
Lineage: Bacteria; Bacillati; Actinomycetota; Actinomycetes; Bifidobacteriales; Bifidobacteriaceae
Source: RNAcentral
GUCGGUGGUCAUGGCGGGGGGGAAACGCCCGGUCCCAUUCCGAACCCGGUGGCUAAGCCCCCCGGCGCCGAUGGUACUGCCGGCGAGGGCCGGUGGGAGAGCAGGACGCCGCCGACA